CAUCUCUGUUUGGACAAACCAAUGAUAGCUUUACUGAGACUUCAUCAAUCAGAAAGACUGGCAAACAUCAGUUUUAAUUUACCUCCCUUGGAGACUGAGGCUGGAUGUAGUCCUGAAAAAGUUUCUGUGCCACUGAAAUUCUUUUCUUCUGUGAUGAUAUCUUUUUGAAGCUCUCACAAGCAAGCCAGAACUCAAUGUUUUCAUCACUGUAUUCUGUCUUCAGGUCUGCACUGUAUUUUUUGUUAGCAAAUAAGAAGAUUAUCUUGCUGACGGAAGCAUUCCAGGUUGUUAUCGUUUGGAGCCUUGAGCCUGCACAUUGCUGUAGGUGUGCUUGCAACA
Molecule: long non-coding RNA, 339 nt
Organism: Heteronotia binoei (common prickly gecko)
Lineage: Eukaryota; Metazoa; Chordata; Lepidosauria; Squamata; Gekkonidae
Exons: 3
Source: RefSeq, a predicted model, not a curated record